RNAcentral lists this ribosomal RNA (296 nucleotides) under uncultured prokaryote. RNAcentral describes it as "partial 16S ribosomal RNA". It matches the Rfam family "Bacterial small subunit ribosomal RNA", at positions 355 to 648 of the family's 1533-position model. The record is from RNAcentral.
UGAGGAAUAUUGGUCAAUGGGCGAGAGCCUGAACCAGCCAAGUCGCGUGAAGGAUGAAGGUUCUAUGGAUUGUAAACUUCUUUUGUAAGGGAAUAAAAAGAGCUACGUGUAGUUUAUUGUAUGUACUUUACGAAUAAGGAACGGCUAACUCCGUGCCAGCAGCCGCGGUAAUACGGAGGAUCCAAGCGUUAUCCGGUGUUAUUGGGUUUAAAGGGUGCGUAGGCGGAGCCUUAAGUCAGUGGUGAAAGUGUGCGGCUCAACCUUAAAAUUGCCAUUUAAACUGAAGAUCUUGAGUG